Molecule: ribosomal RNA, 253 nt
Filed under: uncultured bacterium
Lineage: Bacteria
Description: partial 16S ribosomal RNA
Rfam family: Bacterial small subunit ribosomal RNA
Source: RNAcentral
UACAGAGGUCCCGAGCGUUGUUCGGAUUCAUUGGGCGUAAAGGGUGCGUAGGUGGCUUGGUAAGUUUGAUGUGAAAUCUCCGGGCUUAACCCGGAAAUGGCAUUGAAUACUAUUGAGCUGGAGGUUUGGAGGGGGGACUGGAAUUCUCGGUGUAGCAGUGAAAUGCGUAGAUAUCGAGAGGAACACCAGUGGCGAAGGCGAGUCCCUGGACAACACCUGACACUGAGGCACGAAAGCUAGGGGAGCAAACAGG